This is a non-coding RNA of Pangasianodon gigas (Mekong giant catfish), 75 nucleotides long. The record is from the annotation of a GenBank genome assembly. NCBI's taxonomy places the organism in Eukaryota, Metazoa, Chordata, Actinopteri, Siluriformes, Pangasiidae.
UACUUUAAUCGGUAAUUAGUGCAGGUGAAGAUUCAGUGAAGACGAAUCUGUGUAUCUGACUUUAGAAACUUGUGU